CCUACGGGAGGCAGCAGUGGGGAAUAUUGGACAAUGGGGGAAACCCUGAUCCAGCGACGCCGCGUGUGUGAAGAAGGCCUGCGGGUUGUAAAGCACUUUCGGUGGGAACGAAAUAUGCCGGGCCAAUACCCCGGCAGGCUGACGUUACCCAAUGAAGAAGCACCGGCUAACUCUGUGCCAGCAGCCGCGGUAAUACAGAGGGUGCGAGCGUUAAUCGGAAUUACUGGGCGUAAAGCGCACGUAGGCGGCUUCGUAAGUCGGAUGUGAAAUCCCCGGGCUCAACCUGGGAACUGCAUUCGAGACUGCGAUGCUCGAGUAUGGGAGAGGACAGCGGAAUUCCGGGUGUAGCGGUGAAAUGCGUAGAUAUCCGGAGGAACAUCAGUGGCGAAGGCGGCUGUCUGGCCCAAUACUGACGCUCAGGUGCGAAAGCGUGGGGAGCAAACAGGAUUAGAUACCCUGGUAGUCCACGCCCUAAACGAUGAGGACUAGAUGUCGGAAGGGUCUGCCUUUCGGUGUCGCAGCUAACGCGUUAAGUCCUCCGCCUGGGGAGUACGGCCGCAAGGUUGAAACUCAAAUGAAUUGACGG
Molecule: ribosomal RNA, 586 nt
Filed under: uncultured bacterium
Lineage: Bacteria
Description: bacterial SSU rRNA
Rfam family: Bacterial small subunit ribosomal RNA
Source: RNAcentral